UUCAUUAUGUUAAAAUGUGAUAUUCAGUCACUAUUUUCCUAUAACUUAAUUCUGCGAAUUUCAAAAAAAAUUUUCC
Molecule: long non-coding RNA, 76 nt
Organism: Chrysoperla carnea
Lineage: Eukaryota; Metazoa; Arthropoda; Insecta; Neuroptera; Chrysopidae
Exons: 3
Source: RefSeq, a predicted model, not a curated record